This is a long non-coding RNA of Oncorhynchus nerka (sockeye salmon), 1344 nucleotides long. RefSeq lists it as uncharacterized. The record is from RefSeq and is a predicted model, not a curated record. The transcript is spliced from 2 exons. NCBI's taxonomy places the organism in Eukaryota, Metazoa, Chordata, Actinopteri, Salmoniformes, Salmonidae.
UUUAACCUAAAAGCUUGUGCUUUAAUCUAGCUGAAUGUAGAGCUCGUGAAGCAGGGGGUGUCUGACUUUCAACUGCGCUGGAGGACUCAGCCAGAUGGACAGAUUUUCCACCGUGAGGAAGAAGAGAAGGAGGGUGGACCCACACAGACAGGUGUCUGUGGAACUGAAGGGGGCUAGCCUGGUGAGAGACUCCAAGGAGACACGACAGUUUAAGAUUGGACUGUAUUGAUGACAAUCAAUCUACCGUAAAACUUUAAUUAAACCCAGUCUCAUAUAGCUAUGCAACAACACAUUUCAGCAACUAAACGCCUGUUUCAAAUAAACUCAGGGUCUAAAUCAAAUCAAUGUUAUUUGUCACAUACACAUGGUUAGCAGAUGUUAAUACGAGUGUAGCAAAAGUGCAAUACAUGGUAUAAAAUACAGUAUAUACAUGUGAUAUUUUUUUAUUGUACUCGGCAAGUCAGUUAAGAACAAAUUCUUAUUUUCAAUGACAGCCUAGGAACAGUGGGUUAACUGCCUUAUUCAGGGUCAGAACGACAGAUUUUUACCUUGUGAGCUCGGGGAUUCGAUCUUGCAACCUUUCGGUUACUUGUCCAACGCUCUAACCACUAGGCUACCUGCCGCAGAGUAUGAGUAAUGUAAGACAUGUAAACAUUAUUAAAGUGGCAUUAUUUAGAAUGCAUUGUAUAAAGUGACUAGUGAUAAAUUAAUUGUUUACCAGGUUUAAUGUUUGACUUGUUACAGUAAAUCAUUCAGUAAUGACUCUAAAAAAUGGUCAAUCUUCUGUUUUUAUUGCCAGUAAGAAACUGCUAGCCAUUGGCUGCUAACAGUUGAGAACUGCUAUGUAUAAACUGUCAAGCCCAAAAACACUCAACAACUUCGGGAGAACAAACCCCAAGAAAUGAGCAAGAACUGACAAACACAUGUACUUGCAGUUUGUUUGUUACCUAUGCAUAGUCACUUUGGGCUUGCCAGUUUAUACCUAGCAGCCCCACCUACAUGUACAGAUUACCCCUACUAGCCUGUACCCCUGCACACUGACUCAGUACCGGUGUCCCCUGUGUAUAUAGACUCGUUAUUCUUAUUGUUACUUUUUAUUAUAGCUUUUUAUUUUAGUCUACUUGGUAAAUAUUUUCUUCUUCUUGAACUGCACUGGUUGGUUAAGGGCUUGUAAGUAAGCAUUUCACGGUAAAGUCUACACUUGUUGUAUUCGGCAAGUGGGAAAUAGUUUGAUUUCAUUAUUCUGUUAAGGAUUUUAUUUUAUGGGGGCAUUCUCAGACAAAAUACAUGUAACACAGUGUGUAAAUGAUAAAACAUUAGUGCAAAUAAAAAGGUUAAAUGCUG